This 443-nucleotide ribosomal RNA is filed under the name uncultured bacterium. RNAcentral describes it as "bacterial SSU rRNA". It matches the Rfam family "Bacterial small subunit ribosomal RNA", at positions 26 to 507 of the family's 1533-position model. The record is from RNAcentral.
ACUCGAAGAACGAACGCCUUGGCGGCAUGCCUAACACAUGCAAGUCGAACGAAGCCUUCGGGCUUAGUGGCGCACGGGGUGCGUAACACGUGGGAAUCUGCCCUUCGGUUCGGAAUAACAGUUAGAAAUGACUGCUAAUACCGGAUGAUGACGUAAGUCCAAAGAUUUAUCGCCGAAGGAUGAGCCCGCGUAGGAUUAGGUAGUUGGUAGGGUAAUGGCCUACCAAGCCGACGAUCCUUAGCUGGUCUGAGAGGAUGAUCAGCCACACUGGGACUGAGACACGGCCCAGACUCCUACGGGAGGCAGCAGUGGGGAAUAUUGGACAAUGGGCGAAAGCCUGAUCCAGCAAUGCCGCGUGAGUGGUGAAGGCCUUAGGGCUGUAAAGCUCUUUACCAGGGAUGAUAAUGACAGUACCUGGAGAAUAAGCUCCGGCUAACUCCGUG